RNAcentral lists this transfer RNA (77 nucleotides) under Bacteroidales bacterium. RNAcentral's name for it is "tRNA-Pro". It matches the Rfam family "tRNA". From Rfam's summary of the family: Transfer RNA (tRNA) molecules are approximately 80 nucleotides in length. The record is from RNAcentral. Lineage: Bacteria; Pseudomonadati; Bacteroidota; Bacteroidia; Bacteroidales.
CGGGAUGUAGCUCAGUUGGUUAGAGUACACGUCUGGGGGGCGCGAGGUCGCCCGUUCGAAUCGGGUCAUCCCGACCA